UCCCUUAGAAUGGCUUAACUAUGAUGGGGUUUUAACCUCUUGCAAGAGGAUCAGAGAAUUUUUCCACCUUGCUGAAAUUGACAUACAUCAUGUGUGGCAGAGGGUCUUCAGAGCCUGGCUUGCCAGCUGACAUAUCAAAGCUGCCUUUUAUUUAAAUUCCAGGGGGAAAAGCCAGUCUCUUUCCUGUGAAAUAAACCACAAAACCCAGACAGCAGCCACUGCAGAGCUCCCUCAGAAGUUCUCUCCGACUGUCACAUUGUAUGCAGCUUGUCAGCUGCAUAUGUUUUUCCUUCCCAGAGGCUAGCAAAGAUUAGAAGGCGAAAAAAACGCACUCGUGAUGAAAUGUUCUCUGACCUCAUGCUGUCCUCCCACACUGACAGAGCACAGCCAAAUACAUGGAGGCAGACAAUCUCAGAGUGCAGGAAAACACAAUAUGACCUUGAGGAGAGGUGGUGGGCUGAAGAUGGUAGGUGGUGUCAGCUUGCUGAAAGAAGGCAGGAGUCAAUGCUCAGUCUGCUGGAGCGUAUGAUUGAGCUGCAGGAAAGGCAGCAGGAGCACAGACGACCACUACAGCCCCUGUGUAACCAACCACCCUCCUCUCCAAGUUCCAUAGCCUCCUCACCCAGAUGCCCAAGAAUGCAGUGUGGGGGGGCCCCUCCGGUCACCCAGCCACUCCACCCCAGAGGAUUGCCCAAGCAACAGAAGGCUGGCAUUCAAUAAGUUUUAAAGUGCUGUGUGGCCUUGUCCUUCCCUCCUCCACCACCUUUCCCAGGCUACC
Long non-coding RNA from Caretta caretta (loggerhead turtle), 778 nucleotides. RefSeq lists it as uncharacterized. NCBI's taxonomy places the organism in Eukaryota, Metazoa, Chordata, Testudines, Cheloniidae. The record is from RefSeq and is a predicted model, not a curated record.